RNAcentral lists this ribosomal RNA (305 nucleotides) under uncultured bacterium. RNAcentral's name for it is "bacterial SSU rRNA". It matches the Rfam family "Bacterial small subunit ribosomal RNA", at positions 333 to 654 of the family's 1533-position model. The record is from RNAcentral.
GGGCCCCUACGGGGGGCAGCAGUGGGGAAUAUUGCACAAUGGGGGAAACCCUGAUGCAGCGACGCCGCGUGAGUGAAGAAGUAUUUCGGUAUGUAAAGCUCUAUCAGCAGGGAAGAAGAAGGACGGUACCUGAGUAAGAAGCCCCGGCUAACUACGUGCCAGCAGCCGCGGUAAUACGUAGGGGGCAAGCGUUAUCCGGAUUUACUGGGUGUAAAGGGAGCGUAGACGGCAGGGCAAGUCUGGAGUGAAAGCCCGGGGCCCAACCCCGGGACUGCUUUGGAAACUGCCAUGCUAGAGUGCUGGAG